Molecule: ribosomal RNA, 489 nt
Filed under: uncultured bacterium
Lineage: Bacteria
Description: bacterial SSU rRNA
Rfam family: Bacterial small subunit ribosomal RNA
Source: RNAcentral
UGAACGCUAGCUACAGGCUAACACAUGCAAGCGAGGGGUAGCAGGGUAGCAAUACCGCUGACGACCGGCGCACGGUGAGUAACACGUAUCCAACCUUCCCAUAACUCAGGGAUAGCCUUUCGAAAGAAAGAUUAAUACCUGAUAGUACUUUUUCAAGGCAUCUUGAGAAAGUUAAAGAUUUAUUGGUUAUGGAUGGGGAUGCGUUCCAUUAGAUAGUUGGUGAGGUAACGGCUCACCAAGUCUUCGAUGGAUAGGGGUUCUGAGAGGAAGGUCCCCCACAUUGGUACUGAGACACGGACCAAACUCCUACGGGAGGCAGCAGUGAGGAAUAUUGGUCAAUGGGCGAGAGCCUGAACCAGCCAAGUAGCGUGAAGGAAUGAAGGUCCUAUGGAUUGUAAACUUCUUUUAUAGUAGAAUAAAGUGAUCCACGUGUGGAUUUUUGUAUGUAUACUAUGAAUAAGGAUCGGCUAACUCCGUGCCAGCCGCCGC